UUCCUAUCUGCAAUUAACCUUUAACCCAGAGCAACCACACAGCUCUGAUAACUGAUUGGUCAGUUUCAGACCAGUGCUGAGAAGUGAAUGGAUAAGUUUGUUUUACAAGGUCCGGUGCCCCGGAUGGGCGGAAUUUGCCCAUUUUAGACCAUUGGUCCUUAAAUUAAAACGCCACCCACCCGGGACAACGGGCCAUAUGCAAAAUAAACUCCACCAGUGAUUCACUGAUAUCCACAGAAGCUGUCAUUAUCGCUCAGUGAACAUGAUUCAUAAUGGUGGGUUGGAAUAGAGAGGAUCACUUCUAGUGCUGUAUAUCCUUAAACAUAUCUGUAGCCUGGACAAUGAAUCAAUUAUUAGUCACUGAUACAAUGCUGCUUGUUGCACCUCUUCAUAUCCACUGUCCCCUCUCCUUCUCCCUCUCUGUCCUCCCUUCUUCAUAUCCACUGUCCCCUCUCCUUCUCCCUCUCUGUCCUCCUUCAUAUCCACUGUCCCCUCUCCUUCUCCCUCUCUGUCCUCCCUUCUUCAGAUCCACUGUCCCCUCUCCUUCUCCCUCUCUGUCCUCCCUUCUUCAGAUCCACUGUCCCCUCUCCUUCUCCCUCUCUGUCCUCCCUUCUUCAUAUCCACUGUCCCCUCUCCUUCUCCCUCUCUGUCCUCCCUUCUUCAUAUCCACUGUCCCCUCUCCUUCUCCCUCUCUGUCCUCCCUUCUUCAUAUCCACUGUCCCCUCUCCUUCUCCCUCUCUGUCCUCCCUUCUUCAUAUCCACUGUCCCCUCUCCCUCUCCCUCUCUGUCCUCCCUUCUUCAUAUCCACUGUCCCCUCUCCUUCUCCCUCUCUGUCCUCCCUUCUUCAUAUCCACUGUCCCCUCUCCUUCUCCCUCUCUGUCCUCCCUUCUUCAUAUCCACUGUCCCCUCUCCUUCUCCCUCUCUGUCCUCCCUUCUUCAUAUCCACUGUCCCCUCUCCUUCUCCCUCUCUGUUCUCCCUUCUUCAUAUCCACUGCCCCCUCUCCUUCUCCCCUCUGUCCUCCCUUCUUCAUAUCCACUGUCCCCUCUCAUUCUCCCUCUCUGUCCUCCCUUUUUCAUAUCCACUGUCCCCUCUCCUUCUCCCUCUCUGUCUUCCCUUAUUCAUAUCCACUGUCCCCUCUCCUUCUCCCCUCUGUCCUCCCUUCUUCAUAUCCACUGUCCCCUCUCCUUCUCCCUCUCUGUCCUCCCUUCUUCAUAUCCACUGUCCCCUCUCCUUCUCCCUCUCUGUCCUCCCUUCUUCAGAUCCACUGUCCCCUCUCCUUCUCCCUCUCUCUCCUCCCUUCUUCAUAUCCACUGUCCCCUCUCCUUCUCCCUCUCUGUCCUCCCUUCUUCAUAUCCACUGUCCCCUCUCCUUAUCCCUCUCUGUCCUCCCUUCUUCAUAUCCAUUAUCCCCUCUCCCUCUCCCUCUCUGUCCUCCCUUCUUCAUAUCCACUGUCUCCUCUCCCUCUCCCUCUCUGUCCUCCCUUCUUCAGAUCCACUGUCCCCUCUCCUUCUCCCUCUCUGUCCUCCCUUCUUCAUAUCUACUGUCCCCUCUCCUUCUCCCUCUCUGUCCUCCCUUCUUCAGAUCCACUGUCCCCUCUCCCUCUCCCUCUCUGUCCUCACUUCUUCAGAUCCACUGUCCUCUCUCCUUCUCCCUCUCUGUCCUCCCUUCUUCAUAUCCACUGUCCCCUCUCCUUCUCCCUCUCUGUCCUCCCUUCUUCAUAUCCACUGUCCUCUCUCCUUCUCCCUCUCUGUCCUCCCUUCUUCAUAUCCACUGUCCCCUCUCCUUCUCCCUCUCUGUCCUCCCUUCUUCAUAUCCACUGUCCCCUCUCCUUCUCCCUCUCUGUCCUCCCUUCUUCAUAUCCACUGUCCCCUCUCCUUCUCCCUCUCUGUCCUCCCUUCUUCAUAUCCACUGUCCCCUCUCCUUCUCCCUCUCUGUCCUCCCUUCUUCAGAUCCACUGUUCUCUCUCCUUAUCCCUCUCUGUCCACCUUUCUUCAGAUCCACUGUCCCCUCUCCUUCCACCCCUCUUCACUGUCCCCUUUUCACUGUCCCUUCUCCUUCUUCACUGUCCCCUCUCCUUCUACCUCUCUGCCCUCCCCUCUUCACUGUCCCCUCUCCUUCUACCUCUCUGCCCUCCGCUCUUCACAGUCCCCUCCUUCCUCCCUCUCCACUGUCCCCUCUCCCUCCUCCCCUCUUCACUGUCCCCUCUCCUCCUCCCCUCUUCACUGUCCCAUCUCCCUCCUCCCCUCUUCACUGUCCCCUCUCCCUCUCCUUCCUCCUAUCCUCCCAUCCUCCCCUUUUCACUGUCCCCUCUACCUUUCCUUCCUUUCUCCCCUCACCCUCUCCUUCUCCUGCCUCCUCUCUCCUGCCUCCCCUCUCUACCUCCUCCCCGUUCCCUGUCCCUCUCUUCACUGUCUCCUCUUUUUCUCUCCAGAUGCUUUCCCCCCUCAGGGACUGCACUCCAACAUUCUAAAGAAUCCCAACCCCCCCUCUCCUCCUCCUCUCCUCCUUUUCCCCCCUCCUUUGCUUCAACUAACUAAAACAAUGGAUUCCCACAAGUUUUUUAUGGCCAUUGUUACCCAAACACUUAGCAUUCUGCUAACAUCCCAACUUUAGUGUGAUU
This 2621-nucleotide long non-coding RNA is filed under the name Oncorhynchus kisutch (coho salmon). RNAcentral's name for it is "lncRNA (ENSOKIG00005018902.1)". The record is from RNAcentral. Lineage: Eukaryota; Metazoa; Chordata; Actinopteri; Salmoniformes; Salmonidae.